This is a long non-coding RNA of Oncorhynchus masou masou (cherry salmon), 1571 nucleotides long. RefSeq lists it as uncharacterized. The record is from RefSeq and is a predicted model, not a curated record. NCBI's taxonomy places the organism in Eukaryota, Metazoa, Chordata, Actinopteri, Salmoniformes, Salmonidae. The transcript is spliced from 2 exons.
AGUACCCACGAUUCACUCCGUUGAGAAAUGGUCUCCAGAAUCAGAGGUUAUGCUACAGGACUACUUUACUAGCGCUGAUAGGAAUAUGUUUAGAGACUCCCCGAUAACAUAGAUGAGCUAACAACCCGCCACCGGCUUCAUUAGAAAAUGCAUUGGCGAUGUGGUACACACGGUGAGGGUUUGCUGCUUCCCCAAUCAAAAGCCCUGGAUUAACAACAAGAUUGGAGCUAAACUAAAGGUCAGGGCUACCGCACACAGAGCUAUCGUAGACAACCCUGAUGCUAUGACCGAAGACAGGAAUAAGUACAAGGAGGCCCGCUAUUAACGCAGCAGAUUCAUCAAACGAACAAAAGGACAAUAUAGGAAUAAGGUGGAUUCAUAUUACACAGGCCCCGACACCCGCCACAUGUGAGAGGGGCUAUAGUCCAUUACAUAUUACAAAGGAAGACCCAACCGUGAUCUACCCAACAAUGCCUCGCUAAAAGUGGGUGAUCUCACGCUGAGGCCGACGUGAGAAGGGUCUUUAAAUUAAGUCAACACCCGCAAGGCCCCGGGCCACAACAAUAUUCCAGGUCUGCAACUGGAUCCUGGACUUCCUGAUGGGCCAACCACAUGUGGUGAGGGUAGGCAACAUCCUCUCAACCACACUGACCUUUAACACAGUGGCCCCACAGGUGUGUGUGCUUAGUCCCCUCCUGUACUCCCUGUUCACCCACAACUGUAUGGACUUCAACGCCAUUAUCAAGUUCGCCGACGACACAACAGUGGCAGACCUGAUCACCGGCGACAAGAGUCAGCCUACAGGAAGGAGGUCAGUGACCUGGCAGUGUGGGGCCGGAGCAACAACUUCUCCCUCAACGUCAAGAAGACCAAGGAGCUGAUUGUGGACUACAGGAAACAAGGGAGGACGAGCACACCCCCACCCACAUCAAUGGGCGGUUGUGGAGCAGGUAGAGCGCUUCAAGUUCCUUGUGUCCAAAUCACUAGACUUAAAAUGGUUCACACGCACAGUCACGAAGAAGGCACGACAGUGCCUGUUCCCCUUCAGGAGGCUGAAAAAGUUUGGCCUUCAGAAAUGUUUUGGUACCCUUCCCCAGAUCUGUGCCUCAACGCAAUCCUGUUUCGGAGUUCUACGGACAAUUCCGUCGACCUCAUGUCUUGGUUUUUGCUCUGACAUGCACUGUCAACUGUGGGACCUUAUAUAGACAGGUGUGUGCCUUUCCAAAUCAUGUCUAAUCAAUUGAAUUUACCACAGGUGGACUCCAAUCAAAGUUGUAGUAACAUCUCCAGGAUGAUCCAUGGAAACAGGAUGUACCUGAGCUCAAUUUCAAGUCUCUGAAUACUUAUGUAAAUUUGGUAUCAGUUUAUACAUUAGCAAACAUUUCUAAAAGCCUGUUUUUGCUUUGUCAUUAUGAGGUAUUGUAUGCAGAUUGACGAGGAAAAAUAAGGCUGUAACGUAACUAUGUGGAAAAAGUCAAGGGGUCUGAAUAUUUUCAGAACGCACUGCAUGCUCCUAAUCUCUCAUGUCAGCAAUAAAUAAUAUUUCAAAUAAAAAAAGACUUACUGUGGGA